CGGCGUGUGCAGCGGGAGCUCGGCGGCGGGCGCGCUCCAGCUGCGCCUGCUCAGUACGACGCUGCCGUGCCGC
Molecule: transfer RNA, 73 nt
Filed under: Streptomyces sp. S4.7
Lineage: Bacteria; Bacillati; Actinomycetota; Actinomycetes; Kitasatosporales; Streptomycetaceae
Description: tRNA-Trp
Source: RNAcentral